UACGUAGGGUGCGAGCGUUGUCCGGAAUUACUGGGCGUAAAGAGCUCGUAGGUGGUUUGUCGCGUUGUUCGUGAAAUCUCACGGCUUAACUGUGAGCGUGCGGGCGAUACGGGCAGACUUGAGUACUGCAGGGGAGACUGGAAUUCCUGGUGUAGCGGUGGAAUGCGCAGAUAUCAGGAGGAACACCGGUGGCGACGGCGGGUCUCUGGGCAGUAACUGACGCUGAGGAGCGAAAGCGUGGGGAGCGAACAGG
RNAcentral lists this ribosomal RNA (253 nucleotides) under uncultured bacterium. RNAcentral's name for it is "partial 16S ribosomal RNA". It matches the Rfam family "Bacterial small subunit ribosomal RNA", at positions 524 to 776 of the family's 1533-position model. The record is from RNAcentral.